Molecule: long non-coding RNA, 528 nt
Filed under: Brassica rapa (field mustard)
Lineage: Eukaryota; Viridiplantae; Streptophyta; Magnoliopsida; Brassicales; Brassicaceae
Description: long non-coding RNA (BRAP_LNC001874)
Source: RNAcentral
AAUGAGGUAGAGUUUUUGGAAUGUGAAAUUUAUGAUUCUAAUAAAUAUAUAAAUACUUGAAAAAUAUAUAAAAAAAUUUUAAAAAUAGUUUCAAACAUUAUUUCAUUUUUCUAAAAAAAAUUUGAAAAAAAUAAAAAAAUAAUUCGAAAAAAAAAAUUCAAAAAUCUUUUUUUUUAUAAAAAAGUUCGAAUUUGUAAAAGUAUAAUUCGAAAACAUAAAUUUUUUAAUUUUUAAUUUUUAAUUUUUUUUAAAGUUUUUUUAUUUAUUUAUUUUUUUUUUAAUUUUUAAUUUUAAUUUUAGUUUUUUUUAUUUUAUUUAAAUAAUGAUUUAUUAUAUAUAUAAAUAACAAGGACAUAAGAGUCUUUUGCCACUUAAUAAAGAAUGUAUUUUUGAAAAUGUCUCAUUAGUGGUGGUAAAAAUGAAAAGUGGUACCAUGAAAGUGGUAAACAUGUAAUUUCUAUAUUUUUAUGUUUAAUAACGUUUAGAAAAUACUUAACUUUGAUUUCUAUAUUUUUAUUUUCAUUUGAU